UUUGAUUCCGGCUCCAGACGAAACGCUGGCGGCGUGCCUUAACCCAUGCAAAUCGAGCGAGAAAUUUUAUAAAAGAUUCCUUCGGGGAUGAAAUUAUAAUUUUUCUAGCGGCGGAUGGGUGAGUAACGCGUGAGAAACCUGCCUUUUACAAGGGGAUAGCCUCGAGAAAUCGGGAUUAAUACCCUAUGAUACUUCUUAGUCGCAUGACUGAGUAGUUAAAGCGUAAAGCGGUAAAAGAUGGUCUCGCGUCCCAUUAGUUAGUUGGUGAGAUAAAAGCUCACCAAGACUACGAUGGGUAGCCGGCCUGAGAGGGUGACCGGCCACACUGGAACUGAGACACGGUCCAGACUCCUACGGGAGGCAGCAGUGGGGAAUCUUGCACAAUGGAGGAAACUCUGAUGCAGCGACGCCGCGUGAACGAUGAAGGUUUUCGGAUCGUAAAGUUCUGUCCUAAGGGAAGAUAAUGACGGUACCUUAGGAGGAAGCACCGGCUAACUACGUGCCAGCAGCCGCGGUAAUACGUAGGGUGCAAGCGUUGUCCGGAAUUACUGGGCGUAAAGGGAGCGCAGGCGGUUGGAAUAGUCUGAUGUGAAAGCCCACGGCUUAACCGUGGAAGGUCAUUGGAAACUGUCCAACUUGGAUGCAGAAGAGGUAAGUGGAAUUCCAUGUGUAGCGGUGAAAUGCGUAGAUAUAUGGAGGAACACCAGUGGCGAAGGCGACUUACUGGUCUGUAAUUGACGCUGAGGCUCGAAAGCGUGGGUAGCGAACAGGAUUAGAUACCCUGGUAGUCCACGCCGUAAACGAUGAGUGCUAAGUGUUGGAGGGUUUCCGCCCUUCAGUGCUGGAGUUAACGCAUUAA
RNAcentral lists this ribosomal RNA (859 nucleotides) under uncultured bacterium. RNAcentral's name for it is "bacterial SSU rRNA". It matches the Rfam family "Bacterial small subunit ribosomal RNA", at positions 12 to 863 of the family's 1533-position model. The record is from RNAcentral.